Molecule: ribosomal RNA, 253 nt
Filed under: uncultured bacterium
Lineage: Bacteria
Description: partial 16S ribosomal RNA
Rfam family: Bacterial small subunit ribosomal RNA
Source: RNAcentral
UACGGAGGAUCCAAGCGUUAUCCGGAAUCAUUGGGUUUAAAGGGUCCGUAGGUGGAUAAUUAAGUCAGGGGUGAAAGUCUGCAGCUCAACUGUAGAAUUGCCUUUGAUACUGGUUAUCUUGAAUCAUUAUGAAGUGGUUAGAAUAUGUAGUGUAGCGGUGAAAUGCAUAGAUAUUACAUAGAAUACCAAUUGCGAAGGCAGAUCACUAAUAAUGUAUUGACACUGAUGGACGAAAGCGUGGGUAGCGAACAGG